CAAUAGCUAAGCAACAGAAGCGGCCAUUUGGGCUUACAGACAGCGGCGGAAACCAAAGCUCCAGAUCCAAACUGAAGCCAACCCAGACUAUAAAAGGCUGCAAUUCUAAAAGUCCAUCGGCUGCUGCAAAUUGCAAUCAUCUCUUUAUCUUAAUUGACCGAACACACAGACACAGAGAGGCAGGUUAGAAUUGACGAAAAGAUAACAACAGCAGCAAUAGCAACAGCAAAAGGAGUAAAAAAUGGUGGGUGCUGCUGCAAUCACAGGAAUAGGAGGUGGAUUAUUAGGGUUAUCAUGUACAAAUCUAUCGCAGAGAAGACCAACUUCUCGUUGCAGCAGUAUCAAGAUGGCUGUCUCUGUCGAAGAAGAGAAGAAGAAUUUCACUCUCAAGAAAUCUGAAGAAGCUUUUAAUGUUGCUAAGGAGCUAAUGCCAGGAGGUGUAAAUUCACCAGUGAGGGCUUUUAAAUCAGUUGGUGGACAGCCUAUUGUGAUGGAUUCUGUAAAGGGUUCUCACAUGUGGGAUAUUGAUGGCAAUGAGUAUAUUGAUUACGUUGGUUCUUGGGGUCCUGCUAUUAUUGGUCAUGCUGACGAUCAGGUACUUGCAGCGUUGGCUGAAACAAUGAAGAAAGGGACAAGCUUUGGUGCCCCUUGUCUUCUAGAGAAUGUACUAGCAGAAAUGGUGAUAAAAGCAGUUCCAUGCAUUGAAAUGGUUCGAUUUGUCAAUUCUGGAACAGAGGCUUGCAUGGGUGUUCUUCGCCUGGCCCGUGCCUUCACUGGCCAGGAGAAGCUUAUCAAAUUUGAGGGUUGUUACCAUGGCCAUGCUGAUCCUUUCCUUGUCAAGGCAGGAAGUGGUGUUGCAACGCUAGGACUGCCAGACUCCCCAGGUGUUCCUAAAGCAGCAACCUUUGAAACUCUAACGGCCCCCUUCAAUGACAUAGCUGCUGUCGAGAAACUUUUUGAGGCAAAUAAGGGAGAGAUUGCAGCAAUAAUCCUUGAACCUGUUGUAGGAAAUUCUGGUUUUAUUCCACCUAAACCAGAUUUCCUUAAUGCCAUCCGCAGAAUCACCAAAGAAAAUAAUGCUCUUCUAAUCUUUGAUGAAGUUAUGACUGGAUUUCGUUUGUCAUAUGGUGGAGCUCAGGAAUAUUUUGGCAUAACUCCUGACCUAUCAACGCUAGGGAAGAUCAUUGGUGGUGGUUUGCCAGUUGGUGCAUAUGGAGGAAGGAGGGAGAUUAUGGAGAUGGUUGCACCUGCAGGGCCAAUGUACCAGGCUGGGACCUUGAGUGGAAAUCCACUGGCAAUGACAGCUGGGAUUCACACUCUCAAGCGAUUGCAGGAGCCAGGAAGUUAUGAGUACUUGGAUAAGAUCACCGGUGAACUUAUCCAGGGCAUAUUAGAUGCUGGCAAGAAAGCUGGGCAUGCCAUGUGUGGUGGGCAUAUAAGUGGGAUGUUCGGAUUUUUCUUCACAGAAGGACCUGUUUACAACUUUUCUGAUGCAAAGAAAAGUGACACUGCAAAGUUUGCCAGGUUCUACCAGGGAAUGUUGGAAGAAGGUGUAUACUUUGCUCCUUCACAAUUUGAGGCUGGGUUUACAAGCUUGGCACAUACUACUGAAGACAUCCAACGUACAAUAAAAGCAGCUGAGAAAGUUUUCCGGCAGAUUUAGAGCCUCGAUCUUUUGUACUACUAGCGCAUGGAAAUAACCCCUUUCUUUUGAACCUUUUUCACUUAGUGUGACCCCCUCACUUCUAUUGCGAUGAGCUCAUGAUCACCCUAUCUGAAGAUGCAUUGGAAUAUAAUAUGAUUCAUAAAAACCAAUCACAAAUUGUUGAUCUUGCCAUAACAUCAUCAACCCAAGUUUGGCAUAGGAACGCCGCAGGAUCAAUUUGAUGAUCAGGUGUCUCCAUGUGGUCAAAAUCUUAAGAAAACACUGUUGUUGGCAUUCUGCAGAGAACAUGAUACAGCACCUCUAUUUUAUGUCCAGACACUAUAAUUUUUGAGGAGCAAAUACUGUUACUCCAUAUGAUAAUUACUCAUAUGGAGCUCUUAAAUUUAUAUGUGGAUAUCUCAAUAUGGUUUCUACUUCUAUUUUUAACAUUUUUUGGGGAAUGUAUUUUCCCUAAAAUUUUGGUAAUUUCAGUUAUCUUUCUCUUGA
RNA transcript from Ricinus communis (castor bean), 2152 nucleotides. It is a transcript of the gene named glutamate-1-semialdehyde 2,1-aminomutase 2, chloroplastic, with no coding region annotated. The transcript has 6 exons. NCBI's taxonomy places the organism in Eukaryota, Viridiplantae, Streptophyta, Magnoliopsida, Malpighiales, Euphorbiaceae. The record is from RefSeq and is a predicted model, not a curated record.